CCAGAGAGGGGCAGCAGAGCUGACUGAUGUUUGAAGGACAGUCCAGAGUGAAGAGAAUAGAACAGAGCUUAUUAUCUGACAUUGGACAAGCGUUAAUCACUUUCUAGGCAGUUCCAAUCUUGGGCAUAGAGAGUGCAAAGCCACAAAAUGUAAACCAACUCAUAACAACCUUCUUGCUCCUUGUUGGCACACAGUGAGGGCCAGUCCACCAGUCCCACCUCUUCCGAUUCUCAGGUAAAUGUGGAGUGAAUAUGAAAAUCGUGGAUCUGAAGGGAUUAAAUUUGGCUUAUCAUCACAUCUCCCUGCAGCCCGCCACUCCUCUUGCAUCCCCACACAGGUUGAGACCCGGUUGAUAUUUGGCAGCUGUACCAGAUGUUUCUUGGUUUCAUACAAAAGGUUCAAGACGUAGCGAGCAUGGAGCUGCUACUGGGAGGAAGAGGAGGGAAGGAAGAAAACAACACUGAUAUUCGUG
Molecule: long non-coding RNA, 472 nt
Organism: Gorilla gorilla gorilla (western lowland gorilla)
Lineage: Eukaryota; Metazoa; Chordata; Mammalia; Primates; Hominidae
Exons: 3
Source: RefSeq, a predicted model, not a curated record